CUGUGUUGGGAGUGAGUGGGUGUCUGGGGAAGACUUCUUUGAGAAGGUGUCAUGUGAGCAGGUCUGAAGCUGAGGAGGGAGCUGGCAGAGGGUUUCAGGUGGAAGGGAUGCCCAGGAGUGAGUCCUGACCUGAGGGUUCACCUGGGCUGAUAAAGAGUGAAUGGGGCGCUGUGAGCAAAAGACCAACAGCUGCAGAUGAAGAGAUGGUACGUGAACAAUACACCACGACCACAGAAGGCACCCACAUAGAGCGGCCAGAGAACCAGUCUGUCUACAAAAUCGGCAUCUAUGGCUGGAGAAAGCGUUGCCUCUACUUAUUUGUUCUUCUUUUGCUCAUCAUCCUCCUUGUGAAUCUUGCUCUUACAAUUUGGAUUCUUAAAGUGAUGUGGUUUUCCCCAACAGGGAUGGGUCACCUGCAUGUUACAGAAGAUGGACUUCGCCUGGAGGGGGAAUCGGAGUUUUUAUUCCCACUGUAUGCCAAAGAAAUACACUCCAGAGUGGACUCAUCUCUGCUUCUGCAGUCCACGCAGAAUGUGACUGUAAAUGCACGCAACCCGGAAGGAGGAGUUACAGGCAGGUUAAAAGUGGGUCCCAAAAUGGUAGAGGUCCAGAGUCAGCAGUUUCAGAUCAACUCCAAGGACAGCAAGCCACUGUUUACUGUUGAUGAAAAGGCAGUUGUGGUUGGUACAGAUAAACUUCGAGUAACUGGGCCUGAAGGGGCUCUCUUUGAACAUUCAGUGGAGACGCCCCUCAUAAAACCGGACCCAGUCCAGGACCUUAGACUAGAAUCCCCGACACGGAGUCUCAGCAUGGACGCCCCGAAAGGCAUUCAUAUUCAAGCUGCUGCAGGGAAAAUCGAGGCCCUUUCCCAGAUGGACAUCGUUCUUCACAGCAGUGAUGGGACACUUGUGCUCGACGCUGAGACCAUGUGUUUACCCAAGUUGGCCCAGGGGACUCAGGGUCCCGCAAGCAGCUUGCAGGGACUCUACGAAAUCUGUGCGUGUCCAGAUGGGAAGCUUUACCUGUCUGUGGCCGGCGUGGGUACCACAUGCCACGAGAACAGUCACAUCUGCCUCUAAACCAGGGGCGUCUUCCACGGAGCUACCUGCCUCGUUUCGGUGAGCUUCGGAGUGCUGACCUCAAGCCUUCACACCUGGAGCAACUCGACAAAGUAAAGCUGAGUUGGCACAUGGGAAGGAAGUAGGACCUGCUUUCGAAAGGAGCUCAGAAAGAAAAAUGUACCAGUGCAAGUGUCCCCGUGAAACUCCAUGAUCUCAAAGUGGCAGCUGGACCUUAGACACAAAAGUCAAAGGACUAUCAGGAGAAUGUGUUGAUUCCACUAGACUGAUUCAUUUCCAUCAGAACCAUUGUGACUUUCCCUUUCUUGUACGCGUCGAUCUACAGUGAAAUAUUGAACUGCUGUGUGGAAUAUCAGCUGUGGGUAUCUGACUCCCCACGAGAGUAGCUGUGGUCCUGCUGAGGUGCCGCGAGAGUUCCAUGAGGCUUUCCUCUGUAAAACCUAAGAAAAAUGUCUUCCAGCCCAGUUGAUGUGGAUGGAACACAGGAUCACCAUGGAACAUUGCUAAACUAGUUUGGUUCUCAUAGAACGUGUGUACAUGUCAAAAAAAAUGACGCCGAUGAUAAAGUGAGGUCGAGAAGAACAAAUCAAAGAGAAAGUGUGGGGAAUAGAACCUUUUAAACAAAAGGUGUAAAUCAGAUCUUUUUGCUCCUCUGCUAUAAUGGAAUCAUCCCUAAAGUUGUUUCUAGCUUCAUUCUACAGAGUGAUCAGGAAUUUCUCCUUGCUUAGAAUAAGAACUUUUAGAUGGGCUGUAUUCUAAGAUGUGUUACAUAAACCUGUCUUCUUAAGUACAUUAUACAGUGUAACUUAAAUUUCCAUUAAAGGUGCAAGGCCAUGCUUAUGAAUGUACCCAAUGAGGCAUACACACGAUAGCCCUACACCCUAAGCGCUUACCGACCGUCCAGUGCUCAUAAUUUUAGUGACCUCGCAAAACAGCCCUUGUUUCUUUUCCAAUUUCCGAACCGACUGAGAAGCAGACACAAGUGAAAAAGAUGAAGAUCAAAAUAUCAGCUUUAAUAGUAAAGUUGGAUUUGCAGCAAAAUGGACUUGCUAAGACCUUUCAGCAGAACAACCCCGAACCUCUCCCACCCCUGCAGGCUCCAACUCCGCAGCCCCUACACGAGUUCAGGUCCCCCUGCCCUCCCGGGCACCCCCAGGUCAGUCUCCACUCAUGCGCGGACAGGGAAGCAGGGUGGGAGCUCCCGCGAGGCUGGGUCGAUUUGUAUUGGUUCUCGUCCCCUCCCUUCCCUGAUCCAACACGCCUCUUCUCCCUUGGCUUUAGCUGGCUUCUCCGUAUUGUAAAUGCCACUGCAAAUUGGCUGUGGUUUAAUAACCGAACAAACUUUGGGUCACGUAUAAACAAGCGGGUGGAACGAGCGGGUCUAAGGGCACCGAGGACAAAAGGUGGAUUCUGAGCUAACAGUCAGUGCGGCUUCACCUUUUGUCCUGGGCUUUGUAUCCAGAAUAAAUGAGGGCACUUCCCGGGCCACUUAGCAGCUACAGGAGAAACAAGCCCAAAUUUUAAACACAGCUCUUAUUUUUCAGUAAAAUGUACCUCGCGUUGGCUUUGGUAUCCAAGUCUUCCCCAGUCUCGCCCACACCUGACAGCACGGGGGGCCCGGGACCGGCUUCCAGACCGAUGAAGGAGUGAUGACACUUUAGGCCAAACUUGUCAAAACAAGAUAAAUGGAGAAGAAGCGUCAGAAGCCAGAGUUUUAGGAAAUUCCACCUGCCGACUGCAGCUCCUGCCUGUGGGGUGCGCGCCCUGCAGGUCGCGGACCUGCCGGCCCCCGCGAUGGCAAGUCAGCUCCUGGAAGGACAGCUCUUCCCAGGUCUGUGUCCGUGUGUCUUCUGCUGGUUCUGUCUCUGGUAGAAGCCGGAGUCAUACAUGACUCAUUAAAAUCUCAUCUAACUGCUGUUUUCUACUAGCUUUUAUCCUUGAGGUCUGCAAAAUAUUGGAAGGACAGAAGAUGUCAGCUGGCGCUAAUGAAAGACAACCCCACCAGUCCCCAAAGCAGACCUGUUCUCUUUAUUUGACUGAACGCUAUUUGAACAUUUUCCCAUCAUUCUCAGGCUCGUCACUGGUCUCCCCCCGGAGGCUGUGGAGCAUUCCGCCCUUCCGCUCACGGGGAAGCACAGAACCCGCUCCCGAGUGCAGAAGGCCUGUUCCAACCCCUUUCUCAGGAGCAGCUACGCACACACCGGCUGGCAGUUUCCACCUUCUUUUUAAUAAAAAAAACAAAAUAGGGGAGCCUAAUACAAAAAAAUAGUUCAGGUCCAAAAUUCCUUACCCUGAAUUUCAAAAUCUAAAAAGUUCCAAAAAAUGAAAACUUUCCAAAUACAUCUACUGCAAACUAUGGGUGGCAAAACCUGACCUAAAUUUAGAUGAGGCUACUUCUCACGUCUGUGUAGUUUACUGUGGGUGGGUAUUCAUGGUCUCACUGCAGAAAUACUAAUGUGUUUGAUUAAAGGGAGCUGCCCAACUCUGAUGGAAAAGCCUCAUUAAACCCAGUUUAUAUGCACUGGUAUUAAUGUUCUAAAAUCCAAAUUCCGAAAAACAUUUGGAUGCAAGGGUUUCAUAUAAGGGACUGUGGACCUGUAUUUUUUCUUUUAAAGGAAGUCUAGAAAAAAACACAAAACUCCACCUAGAUCAUACCACAAAAGCCAGACAGGGUGUUCUGUGUACAUUUUAAUAUCCAAAAGCAAUGAAACAUAUUCCAAGUGUCGAAUCUGAGUUUUAAAGUAGCAAGAACUUAAGAUUAAGUCCCAGGCAGCUGGAGACCCAGCGUUCGGGUCGCCCUGGAAGAGAGAAUUCCAAGCCUGGUCUGCCGGAUUUAGAAGCCUUGUGCCUGAGGUGUAAAGAUGAACAUGUCCUACCUGUUAGCGCUCAAGUGUGAAUUGGCCCCAGGCACACAGCCCUCCCCUGAGGUAAGGUCGGUAUCAAUCCAGCCUCUACCUAGAGAAGAACCAUAUUUAACGUAUUUCCAAAUACAUAUGUAUACCACAUAUGUCAACUAAUUUUAUUCCCUAGAAAGGCGAAAUAAAAUCAACUCUUAACAAAAUCAGUGAGCACCUAAUAAACCUAGUAUAUGUCCAGUACUUUAUAUUCAAUCAUAAGAAAAGGAACCUAUUAAAAUUCCACUAUAAAAUAUAUAGGAAAGUUCUAUCCUAAUAUUUCCAAUAAACACACAAAUACACACAGGUCAGAACUUCAUAUAGGAAGAUAUUAGGUUUGAUUUUCAAGGAACUGUUUCUCAGGAAAUACCAGCUACAAUGAUUUCAUAUGUACAUUUGCUUUAUUAAAAUUGUGGCACUUAAUAUAAUAGCAGAAAUGAUCACAUGGCUUCACAUCCAGAAGCAAUACAAUAGUGGAGGCGCAAACAUUCCUUAUUACCAAUAAAAGUAAAAAAGUUUUAAUAUGUUCCAUAAGCCCUUAAUUGCAUAAAAUAUUAUAUUUAGCAUCAUUUACAGCCAGCACACUUAUAGAAACUAAUUACCAUCACCUUUCUUUUACAUUCUGCAAAAGAAGUAUGUUCGUAGGACAUUCAAACAUGAUAAAAAUUAAAUGUCAGUUCUGAAUCGUUCAUGGGGAAAACACAAGCUGAUAAUUCCUAUUUUAUAACUUAUUAGAUAUUGUCACAUGAUUUUACAAUUUUUUAAUGCCUUCAAAGUGAAAUCCAAAAAACUCCACUAAGUGCCAUGUUGAAGGACAAAAAAUGUUUACUGCAGCACCUUUAGACAACGAAAGGUCACAUCCUGUUCAGCCACACUAUAUAAAUUAUGACGUUCGUGGAAAAUAUGUACAAACAAACAUAAAGCAAAUGUUCUAACAGGUGACAGAUGUCGCUUUGGCAGGCGGUUCUUGGAAGCAGUAUUCACAUCCAGAGGCCAGAACGGCCACCACUGGGGUCUCCCACGUGCUACCUUCACGAACCAGGAAGCCUGUAAACCCAGGGCGGGAGGACAUCCAGAACAAGGAUGUAAAGUGUACUCAGUGCGUCCCAGCAGUACCGUCUGCAGAGUCUCAAUCAAGUAAUAUUCAGGAGUAAAGUACUGUACCAUGUUACACAUGUACUGAGGGUCUAAUAGGUAAAAUUGCAAAAAAUUCAUGAUCGGAUCCAGCUGAUAAGAAAAUAACACACCCAAGAGGAUCCACGUAAAGAGAUAAUAAGCUCCGAAGACUUAAUUCCCCUUAUUUGUUUAAACCAAUGAUAUGUCCAGUGUUUCAUUAGCUCCUACAUGGAAGACAUAAAACUAACUUCACCCUAACCAGAGACAGAGAGACUCUUAUCUAACAAACUGCUGAGCUUUGGUUGUAUAAAGUGCAGUCCAACAAGCCGCCACCGCAGCCGGCCAGCUGCCUCCAGCAAUUCCACAGUUCACCACCAGCCUCAAAAUAGUUCUUAGAUCCAGUUAACGUCUUCUGUUGAAAUUCAUGUUAAUAACAACUCCAAAAUUCUCCCCAAACAGUCUGCAGUGUGCUUCGCAAUUCCUAAACAACUGGCAAGGAAGCUUAAGGACAGCAAUUCAUACUUGUGCUACAACACAUUUGAGACCUAGCUCUGCUUCUUCUUUAAAUGCGUUCACACUUUUUGUUGUAUAAAAUUUUCAAGUUUUAUGAUGAUACAGGCAGUACAUUCCAUCACUCUCAUGGCAACCUCAGAAGUGAACCUGUCAUUCGGGAUCUGUGGGAAAGGCAGCAGAUCGGGGUACCUUGUUUUUAAACUGUCUACACCGUAAGCUUCCAAGGUGUGGACGUCAUUCGUCAGGCCUUCCAGAUGCUCACUGUAUUCCUCUAUUUUCUGCGCGAGUGCAGUCGGCUUCACGUCUUUGUCGGACUUGCCCCGCACAGCAUAGUCGGCGGCGAUCAGAGCCAGCUUGGUAGAGAGGAAACAUUUGAAGCACACCCAUUCGUUGGCGUUUUUGUGGAGGUCAUUCCUGGCGGCUGAGAAAUUGGCUCUGGCUUGUCGUAGCCACCUGCGUGCUUCGACUGGGUUACCGACUGACUUGAAGGUGGGGGGAACAAAGAACCUCGGAGAGUAAGUCUGUCCGGCUGAAGGUGGGCAUUUUUCCUUAUUUUGUUGUUGCCUUUCAGAUUUAUGGCUCGUUGCUUCUUGAUUCCAUGAAGUGUAAAAUCUCUGAAAUGAGUACUUCUCUGACUGAAAUCGGGAUGCUGAGGUUGAAAACGUUCGCCUCGAGGCUCUGUCUGCAUUUUGAUCUAGAAAAGCCUGUUUCUCUAAUCUGUUAAUUUCAUUCUGCAGAUGUUUAAAAACUUCAUUAGCAAUGUCAUGAUUCUCUGGGUUUUUGUCAGGGUGCCAUUUCAAAUACAACCGCCUAAUAAUCUUUUUUCUUUCAGAUUCUGGAAGCUUCCAAGCUUGCUCCACCACUGAUGUCACUUCUUUUAAAAUUUCUGGUAAAGAAUUCACCAUAAGCUUCUUGGGGGAAUGAUGCUUCGAAGAUGAGGUCUUGUGGCUCUCCCUACCAAAGAAAAGAGGAGGGAUACUUCGUAGACCAGGGGCCAGGAACUCUGUAGGGCUGGUGGGUGUGGAAGGGGCACUGUCUCUGCUCUGAGAGCUUUCCUCUGGCCUUGAAAACUUAUACAGAUCAAGAGAGCUAACUAUUUUAUAUUCACUAUAACCAAUAUCAAUCUGAUAUAUCUUUCCUAGAAAACUAGAGUUGUCAGCAUCUUCUCUUUCAACUUCCUGUACGAUAAUGGCGUAUGUAUAUGUCGGCUGGUACGACCCAUAGAUCUCCCCACCUUCAGCAUCAACGAGGUACCCGACGUAUUCCCCGGGAUAAAAGACAUUCAUUGGGUCCAUGAGCAGAGUGUAAUGAAUCUCAGCAGGUAUCGGAGUGCCGGGCAUUGGAAGUUCAAGUUUCGAUGGUUCUGAAGAGUCAUAUUUCACUCCUAAACUGUCGAGUUUCUCACUGAUCCUGUAAAUAUCAUUGCAUCCUAGCAUAGCAAUUAGAUAUGAAGUGUCGGAAAUCAAAUUGUCGGUCGCUGAUUUAAGCGUCAUUGCCAGGGCUAACAGGAAGUUAAUGUCUUUACUGUCUGAAUGCUGUAUGUAGAGCAGGAUGACUGCAUUCCCAAACCUCUUCAGGAAAGCAAAAGUUUCACUUCUGCUCUGAGGAAUAGGAUUGAAACCUUUAACUCUUAAUGUUGUCUGAAGCUUCUCGAAACAGGACACUUUCAAGCCUUCUCUUAGAGCUUUGCAGAGUCGCACGGCUUUCUCCUCGUUGGCCAGAAAAGCGUUAUCGUUUUCAUGCUUCAUGAUUCUGAUCAGGCCUGUGAUGAACUGUUCAGAGGACAGGAGUAACUGCAGCCUGCCCUGAAGAGAGCACAGCGCUCCAAACUGGCAGACCCUGGGAGUCUCCUCAUCCAACUGCUCCUCGAGGAUGCUGCUCAGCAGACGUGGUCUGAGUUUCUGAGGAAAGAGCAUAGUCAGCUUCGUGUGGAACCCGUGGUCUUUCCCCAGGUAGCACUGGCUGAGAUCCACCAGCAUCUGCACACCGAUAUUGCCCUGGAUCCUGCUCUUGUAAUGCGGGGCGUCAUCAAACACCAGGAUGUUGGACUUCACCAGCCUCCCAUCCUGGCUUGGCAGGUAGAGUGCAAGGUCCCGGAUGUUCUCGAGAUCGCCCCGCACCUUCACCGAGUCAUUCUGUAGACUCUUGAACAAGCCAGAAACGACUCUCUUAACGGUGCGCAUUUCAUUAGGAUCUAACUGUUUUCCUUCAGAAUUUUUGAAUAUGCGGCUCAGCACUUCAACAUACUGCUUGGUUGAAAUGAUAUCUUCAGUGCCUAAGUGUUUGAACAGCUGGUGAAAGGUGCCCAGUUCUAAAGGCAGCUUGUACAGAUACGGUUUAAAAUCAGACUCGUACUCAAGAUUGAUCACCACCUCCUCCGGCUUCAGAAGCUUCCAGCCAUCUUCCACCAUCACAAAAGCAACGCCCCGCAGCUGAAAACGGAACUCCCUUUUCUCUGCGCUGAGAAACUCGUAUAUGCUCCUUAAGACCUUUGCUCUAGUCUUGACCAUGUCUUCAUCCAGAGUUGUGAUGUUGCAUAUGUUCCUGCAGUUAUUGAUGACCUUAUCCAGAGGGGGGUCCAGGUUCACAUUCAGCAUACUUAAAACCUGCUCCAGCUGUUCUUGUGGACCAAGGUCACUCCCUUCUUGUUCUUUGAUGCUCAAGGGGGUGGCUUUCUCUGGAAGAAUAGGGCAUGACGUCCAUAACAGCUGGAGCACGUCGCACUGCUUGAAUUUUGGAUUCACCUGUGCUCCGUUGAACUUUAUAAGAGGAAGCGUUCCGUUUACCUCUUGAUACUGAGGAUGAAAUCGAAUGAAUUCGGCAGGGGCCCGCUCGGGACAUAAGAAUGGUAUUAAAGACAGUUCUUUCAAAAAAUUUCCAGAUAACAAAUCCAUUCGUUCUUGGAAUAUAUGGUGGAGAAGGAUAUCGACUGUAUUUUGCAGUGUUUCUUUAGACCAGUUUUCUGUAUUAGCCCUCACACUGAUCUCCUUAGCAAACUGUAACAACUGCUGCUGAGAAAGGAUGUGUUUUAGUCCGAUAUUUCUUAAGAAUUCUACCCAGGAUGUCAUAAAUGCAACUUGAUUUUUGGGUUUUAUAAGUUGUUCCAAUUUUUUAAAGAAGUCCUUAGGAAUAAACAAUUUUUCAGGAAGCAUAACUUCAAAAACUCUCACAGUUCUAUCAUAGAAAUGUUUGGCUUGCUUUAGUCGACUGUUAGUGUCAUGGAUUAUCAAUAAACUUUCCAGUUUUUCGAAAAGUUGUUCCUUGAUCUCUGACAAUUCUUCAAUACUUGAGAGUCUAUUCUUAAGAUAGAUCAAAUGCUCUAAUUUUGCAUCAUAAGAGAGAUUUUCGAUUUUUGGUAAGAGGUGUUUCAAAUAGACCUCAAGAUCAUCUACAGGCACACAA
Globicephala melas (long-finned pilot whale) is the source of this 9004-nucleotide RNA transcript. It is a transcript of the gene named sarcoglycan gamma, with no coding region annotated. Lineage: Eukaryota; Metazoa; Chordata; Mammalia; Artiodactyla; Delphinidae. The record is from RefSeq and is a predicted model, not a curated record.